AUAACAUCCGGACCGUCAUUCUACUGAGCAAUGUCUCCUGCUUGGGGAAGAUCUUCCCUUUAUCGU
This 66-nucleotide microRNA precursor is filed under the name Bombyx mori (domestic silkworm). RNAcentral describes it as "mir-2774 microRNA precursor family". It matches the Rfam family "mir-2774 microRNA precursor family". The record is from Rfam by way of RNAcentral. Lineage: Eukaryota; Metazoa; Arthropoda; Insecta; Lepidoptera; Bombycidae.